Molecule: long non-coding RNA, 249 nt
Filed under: Lathyrus oleraceus (garden pea)
Lineage: Eukaryota; Viridiplantae; Streptophyta; Magnoliopsida; Fabales; Fabaceae
Description: Pisum sativum (pea) long non-coding RNA (PSAT_LNC014427)
Source: RNAcentral
AAAGUCAAGAGAAUUGGAAGUUAGCAAGUUGGUUGAUGGUGGUUGGCCAGAUGGAUUCAUCUGAUCAAAACUAGGUCUCCCUAGACCCUAUCUCCUACAAUUUUCACCAUAUGAAAAUUAUUCCAAGACCAAACUUACUCUAAAUGACAUUCCAAACAACUUUCAUGUUGAGACCUAGAGCUAGUUUUUCUUGGAAAAUCAUUUUCUAUGUUGAAACAUUAAAGGUCAUUUUGUCUAAACCCUAAUUUG